UAGGGAAUCUUCCGCAAUGGGCGAAAGCCUGACGGAGCAACGCCGCGUGAGUGAUGAAGGUCUUCGGAUCGUAAAACUCUGUUAUUAGGGAAGAACAAAUGUGUAAGUAACUAUGCACGUCUUGACGGUACCUAAUCAGAAAGCCACGGCUAACUACGUGCCAGCAGCCGCGGUAAUAUGUAGGUGGCAAGCGUUAUCCGGAAUUAUUGGGCGUAAAGCGCGCGUAGGCGGUUUUUUAAGUCUGAUGUGAAAGCCCACGGCUCAACCGUGGAGGGUCAUUGGAAACUGGAAAACUUGAGUGCAGAAGAGGAAAGUGGAAUUCCAUGUGUAGCGGUGAAAUGCGCAGAGAUAUGGGGGAACACCAGUGGCGAAGGCGACUUUCUGGUCUGUAACUGACGCUGAUGUGCGAAAGCGUGGGGAUCAAACAGG
RNAcentral lists this ribosomal RNA (429 nucleotides) under Actinomycetes bacterium. RNAcentral's name for it is "Actinobacteria bacterium partial 16S ribosomal RNA". It matches the Rfam family "Bacterial small subunit ribosomal RNA", at positions 355 to 776 of the family's 1533-position model. The record is from RNAcentral. Lineage: Bacteria; Bacillati; Actinomycetota; Actinomycetes.